UGCUCUCUGAAGUGUUCGCCAGCGGUGCAUGUCCCUGGCCGAUGCUUUUAACACCAGGGGGUUCCGCUUAGUGCGGCUGCGCAUGCUCGGCACGACCGAGAAGCCGAAAGCACCGACGGGAUUCCCGCCUUGAACUUACGGUUCAAGGGCUUCACUCCGCAGCGGCACUUUCGGAGAGCGC
This 181-nucleotide non-coding RNA is filed under the name Ferrimonas marina. RNAcentral describes it as "6S / SsrS RNA". It matches the Rfam family "6S / SsrS RNA". Rfam says of the family: E. coli 6S RNA was the first non coding RNA to be sequenced, but its function was unknown until recently. Lineage: Bacteria; Pseudomonadati; Pseudomonadota; Gammaproteobacteria; Alteromonadales; Ferrimonadaceae. The record is from Rfam by way of RNAcentral.